This is a non-coding RNA of Paramicrosporidium saccamoebae, 73 nucleotides long. NCBI's taxonomy places the organism in Eukaryota, Fungi, Rozellomycota. The record is from the annotation of a GenBank genome assembly.
GAGGAUGUAGCAUAAUAGGUAUUGCGCUUUCUUUGGGUGAAAGAGAUUGUUUGUUCAAAUCAAACCAUUCUGA